This is a long non-coding RNA of Cotesia glomerata, 212 nucleotides long. RefSeq lists it as uncharacterized. The transcript has 3 exons. NCBI's taxonomy places the organism in Eukaryota, Metazoa, Arthropoda, Insecta, Hymenoptera, Braconidae. The record is from RefSeq and is a predicted model, not a curated record.
AAAAUAAAAAAACAACAACAUUAUUUAUAGAAUUUAGUUCUGCAUCGAAUGAGAGAUUGUUCAUAUUUUUAUCACAAUUUUCAACAUUUUUAUUAGCAAAUUUACACAGGAUUCUCACAAAAAUUUCCGUUACUAUGUAACAUGGUAUUGGUUACCAUUCUACAUAGUAAUAAGUUCUAUUCUUUUCUCUCCGUGUAGAGGUUUGUAAUGUA